RNAcentral lists this small RNA (328 nucleotides) under Pongo abelii (Sumatran orangutan). RNAcentral describes it as "processed transcript". The record is from RNAcentral. Lineage: Eukaryota; Metazoa; Chordata; Mammalia; Primates; Hominidae.
UACCGUGGCUGGUGCCAUGAAGAGCUUUUUCUCAGAACUGCCUGACCCCCUGGUCCCGUAUAACAUGCAGAUCGACUUGGUGGAAGCACACAGUGUCACCGAAUGAAGGAGGCACUGUCCACAGCCCCUUUUACAGACAAGGAGACUGACCCUAAGGUGUCACUUGCCCAAGGUGACACGGUUGAUGCGAGAGGCCGGAUUUGUACCCAGGGCCAUCUGAGUCAGGAUCUGGACUCCAGACCACCACAGGACCUUCCUCCCUGCUCAGCGUGCCCGUCACUGGCAUUCUGUCUGCUCUUCCAAGUCUCACUCUCACCAGGGUCCUUGU